RNAcentral lists this long non-coding RNA (870 nucleotides) under Homo sapiens (human). RNAcentral describes it as "HSALNT0168552". Lineage: Eukaryota; Metazoa; Chordata; Mammalia; Primates; Hominidae. The record is from RNAcentral.
UCCUGAGUUAGGAGGAGGAGCCGUAGGGGCUCGGGGGCAAAAUUUAGGACUCAGAAAGCCCAGGAUGUUGGUGCGUUUCAAAUUUGCCAACAGGAAAGGAGUGAGCAGCCCAUCUCAGAAGGGGAGGGAGGAGGUGGAGGGAACGGCCCCAGAAGGUCAAGUGGCCAUGUGGGUGGUUGUUUGUGAAUUCCUCAGCUCAGCCAGAGAGACUCCAGGGAACUUGCUGGCACCUUUCUUUCAAAGGUAGCUCCUCCCAGCAGGGAAUAUGCCGUGAAUAAAUUCCAGGAGAAAAAGCUGUUUGAUGUAUAGGAGGAGCUAGACCUUGCCAGGGGCUGGCUGGAGUUGGAGGGAGGGGGUUAUGGCUUGCUUGGCUGGAAUAAGCAAAGGCAGGAUACCUACUCAAGUGGGACGUCCAAGAGUCACAGAAAUGAAGCCACCCAGUGGGUCAUGAAGGAAAGCCCGUGACAGUGCCUGACACAUGAGAUGGUCAAUUAAUUAAUGCUGGCGCCUUUCCCUUCCAAGCUGUUCCCUACCCGCUGGGGAACUGACAGCUCCUCUAAACUCUCCAGACAGCUCAAGGAAGCCCCUCAUGUGUAUUUUGAACCCUUUUCCUUUUAAAGAGUUUAAAAUCACCUGCCUGGUAAUGGGUGCCAUGCUUAGAAUCUUCCCAACACACAUCAUACCCUCACCUGCUUUUUCAAACCCAAUGCAGACCUGCAAGGAAACAAAAUAUGAUGAUAAAAAAAUGGCUGCUUUGUGUUGGUCCACAGCAGAGAUGUUUUUAGAAAGAUGUUUUAAAAUAGUUUACUGAAUGUACUUAACUGUGCACUUAAAAAUGGUUAAGGUGAUGAAUUUUAGGGUGUGUACAUU